ACGGGAGGCAGCAGUGGGGAAUAUUGCACAAUGGGGGAAACCCUGAUGCAGCGACGCCGCGUGAAGGAAGAAGUAUUUCGGUAUGUAAACUUCUAUCAGCAGGGAAGAAAAUGACGGUACCUGACUAAGAAGCCCCGGCUAACUACGUGCCAGCAGCCGCGGUAAUACGUAGGGGGCAAGCGUUAUCCGGAUUUACUGGGUGUAAAGGGAGCGUAGACGGCAUCGUAAGUCUGAUGUGAAAGGCAGGGGCUCAACUCCUGGACUGCAUUGGAAACUACGAAGCUUGAGUGCCGGAGGGGUAAGCGGAAUUCCUAGUGUAGCGGUGAAAUGCGUAGAUAUUAGGAGGAACACCAGUGGCGAAGGCGGCUUACUGGACUGUAACUGACGUUGAGGCUCGAAAGCGUGGGGAGCAAACAGGAUUAGAUACCCUGGUA
RNAcentral lists this ribosomal RNA (434 nucleotides) under uncultured Lachnospiraceae bacterium. RNAcentral describes it as "partial 16S ribosomal RNA". It matches the Rfam family "Bacterial small subunit ribosomal RNA", at positions 341 to 792 of the family's 1533-position model. The record is from RNAcentral. Lineage: Bacteria; Bacillati; Bacillota; Clostridia; Lachnospirales; Lachnospiraceae.